This 72-nucleotide transfer RNA is filed under the name Gossypium hirsutum (cotton). It matches the Rfam family "tRNA". From Rfam's summary of the family: Transfer RNA (tRNA) molecules are approximately 80 nucleotides in length. Their secondary structure includes four short double-helical elements and three loops (D, anti-codon, and T loops). Further hydrogen bonds mediate the characteristic L-shaped molecular structure. tRNAs have two regions of fundamental functional importance: the anti-codon, which is responsible for specific mRNA codon recognition, and the 3' end, to which the tRNAs corresponding amino acid is attached (by aminoacyl-tRNA synthetases). tRNAs cope with the degeneracy of the genetic code in two manners: having more than one tRNA (with a specific anti-codon) for a particular amino acid; and 'wobble' base-pairing, i.e. permitting non-standard base-pairing at the 3rd anti-codon position. Lineage: Eukaryota; Viridiplantae; Streptophyta; Magnoliopsida; Malvales; Malvaceae. The record is from Rfam by way of RNAcentral.
GGUUCCAUGGUCUAGUGGUCAGGACAUAGGACUCUGAAUCCAGUAACCCGAGUUCAAAUCUCGGUGGAACCU